Molecule: non-coding RNA, 45 nt
Organism: Schistosoma curassoni
Lineage: Eukaryota; Metazoa; Platyhelminthes; Trematoda; Strigeidida; Schistosomatidae
Source: Rfam
AUCCGGCUGACGAAUCCUAAAUAGGACGAAACACGCGCCCCGGAU